GUGUCUGCUGUUAGGACACUCCGUCUACGGUGCUUUGUGGCAGCCACCCUGGCUGAGACAGGCUGGGGAGGUCCUGAUGAUGGACUGCUUUACAAGUGAAGGAGGCGAAAUGAGCCCUUCUAACUUGACACCAGUCAAUCUUAAAGAAAAUCAACCCUGAAUCUUCACUGAAAGGACCGAUGCUGAAGCUCCAAUACUUUGGCCCCCUGAUGUGAUGAGCCGACUCAUUGGAAAAGACCCUGAUGCUGGGAAAGAUGGAGGGCAGGAGGAGAAGGGGAUGGCAGAGGAUGAGAUGGUUGGAUGGUAUCACUGCCUCAAUGGACAUGAGUUUGAGAAAGCUUCAGGAGAUGGUGAAAGAUAGGUAAACGGCUUUUUCACCUCAGAAUCUUCUUCUUCCUCCUGUGUCUGAGCUCCAGGCAUGCUUGUGGGACGUCGUGGUUCACGCGCAUUCCUGCUGAGCAGUGUCCAUGGUAUUCGAGUUGUUUCCAGUUGAGGGCAGUUUCCACCAGGGAUGCUGUGAACCUUGUACAUCUUUGUGACCAGAAGUCCCUUUCCACCACUUAGCGUGUGUUAGUGUCUCGCCCACAUUUGCAGUGACAGCCAUGGCAUCUGGCACCCAGUAGGUGCUUAGUAAGGAGUGUUUGCAAGGUGAAUCAUGAAUCGGGAGGCCAGGCAGGUCCAGGGUGGGGACGCAGCCCGUGUUGGGGUCAGGCGUCUGGUUAGCCUGGUGUUGGAUCUGCUCCAUUUGCUUAUAGCCCACCUGCUGGGUUUCAG
Bos taurus (domestic cattle) is the source of this 774-nucleotide long non-coding RNA. The record is from Ensembl. Lineage: Eukaryota; Metazoa; Chordata; Mammalia; Artiodactyla; Bovidae.